GGACCGGGUUGAACGUACCUCUGGUGGACCUGUCGUGGCGCCAGCCGCGCAGCAGGGUAGCUAUGUACGGACGGGAUAACCGCUGAAAGCAUCUAAGCGGGAAGCCUCCCUCGAGAUAAGGUAUCUUAGAGUCGUGGAAGACCACCACGUUGAUAGGCCGGGUGUGGAAGCGCAGCAAUGCGUGGAGCUAACCGGUCCUAAUUACUCAUUUCGCGCUUGAU
Molecule: ribosomal RNA, 221 nt
Filed under: Sphingomonas sp.
Lineage: Bacteria; Pseudomonadati; Pseudomonadota; Alphaproteobacteria; Sphingomonadales; Sphingomonadaceae
Description: partial 23S ribosomal RNA
Rfam family: Bacterial large subunit ribosomal RNA
Source: RNAcentral